CUUCACCACAGAAUGAUAGAAACAAAGACUUCUCUUGAAAAAGAGCUCCAUCAAGUGAAGUCUGAGCUCAAACAGAAAGAAGAUGAACUAGAAUCAGUUAAUAAAAGACUGACUGAGACAAAAGCUUCUAAUGAAAGUGAGAUCCAGAAAAUCAGGUCUGCUUUAGAAGAA
Molecule: long non-coding RNA, 171 nt
Organism: Cyprinodon tularosa
Lineage: Eukaryota; Metazoa; Chordata; Actinopteri; Cyprinodontiformes; Cyprinodontidae
Exons: 4
Source: RefSeq, a predicted model, not a curated record